UACGAAGGGGGCUAGCGUUGUUCGGAAUUACUGGGCGUAAAGGGCGCGUAGGCGGUGCCUCAAGUCAGGCGUGAAAGCCCCGGGCUCAACCUGGGAACCGCGCUUGAGACUGGAGUACUAGAGUUCGGGAGAGGAUGGUGGAAUUCCCAGUGUAGCAGUGAAAUGCGUAGAGAUCGGGAGGAACACCAGUGGCGAAGGCGGCUACCUGGACCAGCACUGACACUGAGGCACGAAAGCGUGGGGAGCAAACAGG
Molecule: ribosomal RNA, 253 nt
Filed under: uncultured bacterium
Lineage: Bacteria
Description: partial 16S ribosomal RNA
Rfam family: Bacterial small subunit ribosomal RNA
Source: RNAcentral